Molecule: small RNA, 132 nt
Filed under: Escherichia coli
Lineage: Bacteria; Pseudomonadati; Pseudomonadota; Gammaproteobacteria; Enterobacterales; Enterobacteriaceae
Description: RtT sRNA
Rfam family: RtT RNA
About the family: This family represents a bacterial cis-regulatory element known as RtT RNA. The exact function of RtT is unknown although it is thought that it may be involved in changing the cellular response in relation to amino acid starvation.
Source: RNAcentral
AUUCUGCCCAUGCGGGGAAGGAUGAGAAGCUUCGACCAAGGUUCGACUCGAGUGCCAGCGAGAGAGCGUUGCCGCAGGCAACGCCCCGUAGGGCGAAGCGCGCAGCGCUGAGUAAUCCUUCCCCCACCACCA